Molecule: long non-coding RNA, 1356 nt
Organism: Magallana angulata
Lineage: Eukaryota; Metazoa; Mollusca; Bivalvia; Ostreida; Ostreidae
Exons: 8
Source: RefSeq, a predicted model, not a curated record
UACUAGAUGAUGCGGAAGUGGAACACAAUCCCGAUCCCGAUCUUGUAACAACCCGGCUCCUGCUAAUGGCGGGAAUUCCUGUUCCGGUUCAUCCUCUUCGUCACGGUCUUGUAACACACAUAACUGUCCAAUACAUGGUAACUGGGGAGGCUGGGGAUCGUACGGAAGUUGUACGAAUUCCUGCGGAAGUGGAACCCAAAUUCGAUCCCGAUCAUGUAACAACCCAGCUCCGGCGUAUGGCGGAAAUUCCUGUUCCGGUUCAUCCUCCUCGUCACGGUCUUGUAACACACAUAACUGUCCAAUUCACGGCAACUGGGCGUCAUGGGGCGCGUGCACUGUGACGUGUGGCGGAGGAACUCAAGACAGAAGCCGCACUUGCACUAAUCCGGCGCCGUUAUACGGCGGAAACAAUUGCGCCGGAUCCGGAUCUGCUCGUCAGGCGUGCAACACGCACAACUGUCCAAUUGACGGAUUUUGGGCAUCGUGGGGAUCAUGGGAACCUGCACGGUGACCUGAGGCGGAGGGAUUCAGACCAAAACCCGCUCCUGUACAAAUCCAGCCCCACAAUAUGGCGGCAGUGACUGCACAACGGCAACACAGACCUGUAACACACACAACUGUCCAAUUGGCGGAUCUUGGGCUACUUGGGGAAGUUAUGGCGCAUGCACGGUGACAUGUGGCAGGGGAACACAAGAGAGACAGCGCACGUGCACUAACCCCGCUCCCCAGUACGGCGGGGCUAGCUGUCCCGGAAGUACCGUCUCUUCACAGAGCUGUAACACACAACACUGUCCGAUUGACGGAGUCUGGGCGACCUGGGGUGCCUAUGGUACAUGUACCUGCUCUGUAACCUGUGGGGGCGGGACACAGUCCAGAACGCGCACCUGCACAAAUCCCGCCCUUCAAUAUGGCGGCGCCUCCUGUCCCGGGACGGAAACGACGUCACAAGAUUGCAACACACAAAUCUGCAUCAUCGACGGAGCAUGGGGUGCGUGGGGAAACUGGGGAGAUUGUACAAAGUCGUGCGCAAGCGGAAGGAAGUCAAGGUCAAGAAUUUGCGACAACCCAAAACCGGCAAAUGGUGGCCUGGACUGUCCUGGCAGUUCCGGGGACUUUGAAUAUUGCAAUACACACGACUGUCCGACGGUACCCGCAGGGACGUAUCAACAGCUUUGUCCCAGUGGCUACUUUACGUGCGAGUCGGGGUCCAUGACUUGUAUCUACAACGCUUUUAAGUGCGACUGUUCCAAAGACUGCGAUGACGGAAGUGACGAAACAGCCGGAUAUGCCGGAUGCACAAACGUUGAGCAAUGCUUACUGGAGAAUGGAGCAGCUUCGAUUAAAUAAUGACUGUAC